GAUGGCGACCGGCGCACGGGUGAGUAACACGUAUCCAACCUGCCGAUGACUCGGGGAUAGCCUUUCGAAAGAAAGAUUAAUACCCGAUGGCAUUGUUCUUCCGCAUGGUGGAACUAUUAAAGAAUUUCGGUCAUCGAUGGGGAUGCGUUCCAUUAGGUUGUUGGCGGGGUAACGGCCCACCAAGCCUUCGAUGGAUAGGGGUUCUGAGAGGAAGGUCCCCCACAUUGGAACUGAGACACGGUCCAAACUCCUACGGGAGGCAGCAUG
RNAcentral lists this ribosomal RNA (267 nucleotides) under uncultured bacterium. RNAcentral's name for it is "partial 16S ribosomal RNA". It matches the Rfam family "Bacterial small subunit ribosomal RNA", at positions 87 to 353 of the family's 1533-position model. The record is from RNAcentral.